RNAcentral lists this ribosomal RNA (69 nucleotides) under Pseudomonas aeruginosa. RNAcentral describes it as "partial 16S ribosomal RNA". It matches the Rfam family "Bacterial small subunit ribosomal RNA", at positions 1 to 69 of the family's 1533-position model. The record is from RNAcentral. Lineage: Bacteria; Pseudomonadati; Pseudomonadota; Gammaproteobacteria; Pseudomonadales; Pseudomonadaceae. RNAcentral also lists the same sequence under 4 other names.
GAACUGAAGAGUUUGAUCAUGGCUCAGAUUGAACGCUGGCGGCAGGCCUAACACAUGCAAGUCGAGCGG